AGUGAACGCUGGCGGCAGGCCUAAUACAUGCAAGUCGAGCGGCAGCGCGUCCGACCACCCUCGGGUGGUCGGAUGGCGGCGAGCGGCGGACGGGUGAGGAAUGCAUCGGAAUCUGGCCUCGUUGUGGGGGAUAACGUAGGGAAACUUACGCUAAUACCGCAUACGACCUACGGGUGUAAAGUGGGGGACCUUCGGGCCUCACGCGAUGAGAUGAGCCGAUGCCGGAUUAGCUAGUUGGCGGGGUAAAGGCCCACCAAGGCGACGAUCCGUAGCUGGUCUGAGAGGAUGAUCAGCCACACUGGAACUGAGACACGGUCCAGACUCCUACGGGAGGCAGCAGUAGGGAAUAUUGGACAAUGGGGGCAACCCUGAUCCAGCCAUGCCGCGUGAGUGAAGAAGGCCCUCGGGUUGUAAAGCUCUUUUGUCCGGAAAGAAAGCAAUCGGUUAAUACCCGGUUGUUCUGACGGUACCGGAAGAAUAAGCACCGGCUAACUUCGUGCCAGCAGCCG
Molecule: ribosomal RNA, 509 nt
Filed under: uncultured bacterium
Lineage: Bacteria
Description: bacterial SSU rRNA
Rfam family: Bacterial small subunit ribosomal RNA
Source: RNAcentral